Bos taurus (domestic cattle) is the source of this 290-nucleotide long non-coding RNA. NCBI's taxonomy places the organism in Eukaryota, Metazoa, Chordata, Mammalia, Artiodactyla, Bovidae. The record is from Ensembl.
CUGUGGCCUACUCUAGCCCACCCUCCCAGGGAGAGCUGUGGGCCCUGGAAGAGCAUACCCAUCCCUACGUGCUCAGUCGCUUCAGCCGUGUUCAACCCUUUAUGACCCGAUGCACUGUAGCCCGCCAGGCUCCUCCCUCCAUGGCGAUUCUCCAGGCAAAAAUACUGGAGUGGGUUGCCAUGUCCUCCUCCAAGGGAUCUUCCCAACCCAGAAAUCGAACCUACUCUUCCGUCUCUUGCAUUGGCAGACAAACAAAGACCUCGCUACCUAAAAGUUAAGCUGUGGCAUCA